This is a small nuclear RNA of Erinaceus europaeus (western European hedgehog), 107 nucleotides long. The record is from Ensembl. NCBI's taxonomy places the organism in Eukaryota, Metazoa, Chordata, Mammalia, Eulipotyphla, Erinaceidae.
AUGAUGGCUUUAGCAGCAUAUAUACUGAAACUUAAAUGCUACAGAGAAGAUUAGCAUAGCCCCUAAGCAAGGGUGACAUGUAAAUUUGAAAAGAAUUUCAUAUUUAU